Molecule: ribosomal RNA, 487 nt
Filed under: uncultured bacterium
Lineage: Bacteria
Description: partial 16S ribosomal RNA
Rfam family: Bacterial small subunit ribosomal RNA
Source: RNAcentral
ACUCAAAUGAAUUGACGGGGACUCGCACAAGCGGUGGAUUAUGUGGCUCAAUUCGUCGACAAACGAAGAACCUUACCAAGGUUAGAAAUGCAGAUGCAUCCCUUAUGAAAAUUUGGGAGCCUUCGAGGGUUCUGCACAGGUGAUGCAUGGUCGUCGUCAGUUCGUGGUUUGAACUGUUCCCUUCAGUGGGGUAACGAACGCAACCCCCGUUGCCUGUUGCCUAUAUGGCCAGGCGAGACUGCUCCCUCACGGGAGAGGAAGGUGGGGAUGACGCCAGAUCAGCAUGUCCCUCUGAUACCUUGGGCUGCACACAUAAUACAAUGGUCGGUACAAAGGGAUGCAAGACCGCAAGGUGGAGCAAAUCCCUAAAACCGACCUCAGUACGGAUUGAGGUCUGCAACUGACCUCAUGAAGCUGGAAUCGCUAGUAAUCCUGGGUCAGCCAAACCAGGGUGAAUACGUUCUCGAGUCUUGUACACACCGCCCGU